GAUGAACGCUGGCGGCGUUGCCUAACACAUGCAAGUCGAACGGAGUUACUUUGGCAGACUGAGUGGCGGACGGGUGAGUAACGCGUGGGUAACCUGCCUUAUACAGGGGGAUAACAGUUGGAAACGACUGCUAAUACCGCAUAAGCCCACGGCUCGGCAUCGAGCAGAGGGAAAGGAGCGAUCCGCUUUGAGAUGGCCUCGCGUCCGAUUAGCUAGUUGGGUGAGGUUAAACGGGCCCCACCAAGGCGACGAUCGGUAGCCGGACUGAGAGGUUGAACGGCCACAUUGGGACUGAGACACGGCCCAGACUCCUACGGGAGGCAGCAGUGGGGAAUAUUGCACAAUGGGGGAAACCCUGAUGCAGCGACGCCGCGUGGAGGAAGAAGGUCUUCGGAUUGUAAACUCCUGUUGUUGAGGAAGAUAAUGACGGUACUCAACAAGGAAGUGACGGCUAACUACGUG
RNAcentral lists this ribosomal RNA (462 nucleotides) under uncultured bacterium. Its description in RNAcentral is "bacterial SSU rRNA". It matches the Rfam family "Bacterial small subunit ribosomal RNA", at positions 28 to 507 of the family's 1533-position model. The record is from RNAcentral.